RNAcentral lists this long non-coding RNA (4764 nucleotides) under Nicotiana tabacum (common tobacco). RNAcentral's name for it is "long non-coding RNA (NTAB_LNC018006)". Lineage: Eukaryota; Viridiplantae; Streptophyta; Magnoliopsida; Solanales; Solanaceae. The record is from RNAcentral.
GAGGCAAAAAAUGAACCUUUACAUGAAUCUGGGCUUUUGAUUUGGCAAUUGGAACGACCAUGACACACCAACCAGAGAGCCUCGGCACUGACCUCGAAAGGAUUCAACUCGACUGAGCUUGGACGACGGUUUUGGAUGUCAAAAUGGGCUGUUUUAUGGUGGAGUUUGGAGGCUGUUUUGAGGUAAUUUUCUGUUGGUUUCAAGUGUGGGUUCGAGUGAAGUUUCAGUUGGUUUUCAUGGUUGUUUCAAGGCUGUUUUCAGGUAGGUUUGGGGGUGGAUUUUCAGCUUGUUUUUGGGGGUGUUGAACUGGAGAAAAGUGACUGUUUUGGGGUGUUAUCGACAGUUGUGGGUGGACUGGUUUUCAGCUCAUUUUUUGGGAUGUUUUCAACUCGUUUUUGAGCUGUUUUGAGGAAGUUUUGGGGCUGAAUUUCUAGCUCGUUUUUGGGGGUGUUGAACUGGAGAAAAGUGACUGUUUUGGGGUGCUAUCGACAGCUGUGGGUGGACUGGUUUUUAGCUCUUUUUUGGGCUAUUUUCAGCUCAUUUUUGAGCUAUUUUGAGGGAGUUUUGGGGCUGGAUUUGCAGCUCGUUUUCUUUGCUGGUUCCUCCUCUUUUUUUUUUGUGUUGUGUGUGUGUUUUAUAGUUGAAAAUGGGGUAUGGGAUUUGUGAUAGGAGACAAGUAUGGGGGACAAGGAGUGGGAAAAAAUAGAGAGAGUAGGGAGCAAAGUGUGGGAGGACAAGCAUGGAGGACAAAUGAAAGUGGAGUGGGGAACAAACAUGUGGGAUAAGCAUGGGAGACAAAGCAUGGGGGAUAAGUAUGAGGGACAAAGAAAAGUUGAGUGGGGACACGCUUGGGAAGCGGGAAAUAUUCAAGCACGGUUAAAAAUUAGGUGCUCACAGCAUGCCCCUCUUUGCUUGGAAACAUUAAAAGUUUUCAGGCAAAGAUAAAGUGAGCCGUGUGACUAAGUUUUAACCAUAUCGUUAUUCAAAAGAGGAAGAAAAUAAAAGAAAAAAGUGCGACCGAGUCCUGGUUUUGGAUAGCCUACAUAUCCCAGGUUAUAAGGGAAUCAGGUCGCGUGUAGUUCAAGAAAAAUGAUGAGUUCGAAAGUCGAGCUAGGUUCCGUCGAGGCUCCAGUCCGUGGCCCUGUUAUUACAUCAAAAUCUAAAUGAACUAAACAAGCCUAUCAGUUAUAAGUUACAAGAUUCCUAUUUAUAAGUCUUCUGAACCUUGAUCUUGAGUUUUGACUGGUUGUUCAUGCAGACUCUGAUCUGAACCUUGAUGCUUGCUAGCUGUAGGUGCUAGUUCAUUCUUCUACGGCUUCUUCUGAGAAUAUGAAGCUCGUAACUUCAGUCAUGUUUUGAGCAGUCCAUAUCAUUUCCAUCUGCUUCUGCAUUUGGAUUCACUUUUUUUUCUUUCUUUAUUGUUGAUUCAAACUUCUUCUUUUGUUUAUCUCAAACCUUGUGCCUCGAGAUAAAACCUACUCAGACAUCACAACAAAUAAACAAACGAAAUUUUUCUGCCCCAGUUUUCACUAGGAAAAUUUCGUGAGUUAUUGUAACGAAAUUCUAAACUACUUCUUUAUUGAAAUCAAAUAAAAAAAAGUAAUGGUGUACCCUGAAAAGGUCAUGAUGAUUUUGUUUUUUAUUGUCCCAAAAGAAUAUCUCAACUAAGGAUUUGUGUACCUUAUGUUGGGAAACUGUGGUCAGAGAAUGGGAUACCCUAUAUUGGCAAUGAUACCAGGGAGUGGUGUAUCCUGCAUUUAAAAUCAAAUCAACUAAGGAGUGGUGUACCCUAUGUUGGAGAACACAGCAAGGGAUUGGUGUACUCUAUACUGGUAAGGAGAUCAGGGAUUGGUGUACCCUAUACUGGUAAGGAAAUGUAAUCAGGGGAUGGCUCCCUAUAUUACUGAAAAAGAAAUAUAACCAGGGGUUGGCGCCCUGUAUUACUGAAAAGGAAAGGUAAUCAGGGGUUGGUGCCCUGUAUUACUGAAACAAGCAAACGAGGAUAGAAUUACAAAAGUCAAGACACUCACCAGUUUGCAGAUUCAACAAACAAAAUAGAAGAGAAGGCUAAGUGCCAAAUAGCAACUAAUUAAAGCAAGAGAGGAUCUCACUUAUAACAAAAAAUAGCAAGUAUUAAACCAGUUAUAUAGAGCAAGUUUAAAGAUGGUUUUGAGCUGAAGUUUGAAGUGUUCAACUGAUAAUUUUUUGAUUCUUUUGUAUGUUUGUUAAGUUUAUUAUGAGAAUAUACUGCAUGAGCCGGCUAAAAUAGCAGCCAAUAGAAGCACAUAUUUAAGACAGCCGGCAAAAUAUAGGCAUAUAUAGCAGGUUAAUUUUUCCUAAUCUAAGGGUUGUAGUUUUAACUUUUAUAUACGCUAACAAAGUAAAAAUAAAAAUACACUAUCAAUAUAGUUUAAUAUGUGAUUAUCUCAUGUUAAGUUGUUAACAAUUUAAUGAUUAUCAUAGAAUUUAUUUGUUUUUUUUUGUAUAACUAUUUGUAUUCGGAACCCACCGGGUCAGCUAAUCCAGUUUUAUACUGUGUAGGGUCCACUUAAGAAGAAGCGGUACCUAUUUUUUCAAUCGGGGUUCGAACCCAAGACAUUUGGCUAAGGGUGAAGGGAUCUCAUCUAUCCCACUGAACUCGAGACAUCAGGUGGAAUUUGAAACACUAUAACUUAAGCUCUUAUUACAUUGUUAAAUUUAGUGCUUAAUUUGUAGGCAAAUUCUACAUUUUUUAGUUGCNNNNNNNNNNNNNNNNNNNNNNNNNNNNNNNNNNNNNNNNNNNNNNNNNNNNNNNNNNNNNNNNNNNNNNNNNNNNNNNNNNNNNNNNNNNNNNNNNNNNNNNNNNNNNNNNNNNNNNUUCUACANUUUUUAGUUGCACAUUCCCAUGCCAAGCUUUUCAUUGUUAUUUUUGUCACUAAUAUUACAACCUUACUCCCUAUUAUAAUUGUCAUGGUACGUAGUCGUUGGCCGUAGCCUCGCCAAUAAGGAAUCGUUUGGUUCAAAUUCAAGAUAUUUCAGGAUUAUAAUCGUGGAAUUAAUUACAAUCAAGAUUCCAAUGGCCUGUUUGGCCAAGCUUCUCAAGAGGCCAAAAUUGUUUUUUUUUCUUUCUCAAAAGCACUUUUUUUCCCUAACUUGAGUUGUUUGGCAAAACUUUUUUUGGGGAAAAAAGUGCUUUUGGGAGAAGCAGAAGCAGUUUCUAAGAAGCAGAAAAAAAUAGUUUCUUCCCAAAAACAGAAGCAGAAGCAGUUUUGACUUUUCUUCUUACCAAAAAUACCCUUUAACAAAAUAUAGUAUAUACCAAAAUAACCAUUAAACCUAAUACUUAGGAUAUUAAUGUAUAAAUAUUUUUUAUUAUUUUUAGGAUAGCUUUCUAAUAUAUAAUGACUUUAGGAGUGAAUGCUUUUAUAUUUGUUGAAUGAUUUUUAAUAUAUUUAACUUAUACUAAAAGAAUUAAGUACUUUUAAAUUUAUUUUUGUCACACCCCUUUUAUGCCCCUCCCCCCCCCCCCCAAAACGAUAAUGUGUUUGGAUUGUGGGUUAAAGAGUUUUUCCAAUUAAAGUGAUAAUUUUUGAAAUAUGGAUUAUUUUAUUUACAGAGUCGCCACUUGGAAUUGAUUUUUUGCCGGUGUUCCAAGUCACAUUUUAUUUGAAUCCCUAGUCAAAGGAAGGUUUGACUCUUUUAUUAUUGGUCUGCGAAAACAAAGUCCGGAUAAGAAAUUCUGUUGACCGGGGAGAAGGUGUAAGGCAUUCCCCGAAUCCCGUGAUUCUAGCACAGUCGCUUUAUUGACUACAACUUGGCUUGAAUUAAUUUUGGACAAACUAUGAUUUAUUGGUUUUCAUAUUUUUCUUUAUCCGCUUUUAUUGCUUGAUUAUUCGUAAUUAAGGAAUUAUCUUGAAACGAGUCACGCGUACGUGUACCCGUUUUGUUUGGCGCAUUAAAAAUCAUGCCACACAUGUGUGUACACAAUUGAUAACACUUUUAUUAUUAUUAAAAUUCUUCUGUCAAAGUUGCAUGAACGAAUACCUUGCCUUUAACUUUGGAAAACUGAUGGCUUCUUUUCUUCCCAUUCCUAAACCAAAACGUCCCAAUUCGAUUAUUAAAUCCCAACGCCAUUAAUUCAUUGGAAAAAUUCAUAUGACCCCAUACUUUUAGCAUUAAAUAGUAACUCCACAUUCAUGACAAUAGUGGAAUGAAGACCCAUAUCAACUAGAAGUGAAGUAACAGAUCAUCUCAAGGCAUACAAAUACAAUCAAUAAAUAAAGCAUGUCAAAUAAGAACCAAUCAGGAAACUCAUUUCAAAUUGCACAACUAACUUUGUAAAGAGGAAAAGAAUGGAUCUUCUGUAGGUACUCCUCCAUAAAAGAAGUACUAACGCGAGAAAUCAGAUCAACUCAAGUUUGUCACACACAUAUAUACAGAUGCUCAUUAACAACACUAUUUCAUUCAAACAUGCAUUAUAAAACUUCAAAAGUUAUAAUAUUAAUCAAAGGUGAGGCAAAAAAUGAACCUUUACAUGAAUCUGGGCUUUUGAUUUGGCAAUUGGAACGACCAUGACACACCAACCAGAGAGCCUCGGCACUGACCUCGAAAGGAUUCAACUCGACUGAGGACGACGGUUUUGGAUGUCAAAAUGGGCUAUUUUAUGGUGGAGUUUGGAGGCUGUUUUGAGGUGAUUUUCUGUUGGUUUCAAGUGUGGGUUCGAGUGAAGUUUCAGUUGGUUUUCAUGGUUGUUUCAAGGCUGUUUUCAGGUAGGUUUGGGGGUGG